Molecule: long non-coding RNA, 1086 nt
Organism: Oreochromis niloticus (Nile tilapia)
Lineage: Eukaryota; Metazoa; Chordata; Actinopteri; Cichliformes; Cichlidae
Exons: 2
Source: RefSeq, a predicted model, not a curated record
AAAAUCCGCAACAACUUAAAAAUCCGCAACAAAUUAAAAAUCCGCAACAAAUUAAAAAACCACAACAAAUUAAAAAUCCACAACAAAUUAAAAAACCGCAACAAAUUAAAAAUCCUUGACGGAAAGGGAUUGUCUGAAAUACCGGAAGUGACACAACGAUUAGCCUAAUAGGGCUUUUGGAGAGUGAUGUCACGAGAGGGGGCGUGGCCAGGAUUUUGGGUUGAGGCGCCAUGUUUCUGGCGCUAGCGAAAGAGGAGCGAAAGUACACGGAUAACACCAGCUAUGGUUCGCACUUGCUGUGCGGUCGGUUGUAAAGUUAGAUCGCACGACCGGCAAGGGAAUAAGGUUGAAAAUGGUUUAUCUUUUCAUUCUUUCCCCACCUGGAAGCAGCAUGAGGCAGCUCAUGUAUCGGAUGUUACCAAAAGAAGGCGUCUAGUCUGGAUAGCAGCUGUGAGACGAGCUGAUAUCCAGUUUUCUUCCAUCUCCAAAUAUCUGUUGGUGUGCUCCAGACAUUUUCAUUCCGGUCCUGCACUCUCAAAGACUGAAUGAACCAGCAUUGCAGCCAUGGGUCAUUGUGAGCAUCACAGGGAAGGUUGAAGCCGCCCACUGCACCUGUAUGGCCGGAAUCGUGGAGACCUGCAGCCACGUCACUGCUCUUCUUUUUAAAGUAGAAGCAACUGUGCAGAUCCGUUGCACAAGGACUGUUACAGAUGAACCUGUAUACUGGGUUUUGCCUGGUAAUAUGACCAAGAUACAGCCAGAGGUUGGCCAUAAGAUAGACUUGUCCUCUUCAGCUGCCCCAAAACGGCUCUGGAUCAAAACAUAAACAGACCAUCCGUAUUGAAAGGUAAAAGAAGCCGUCCUCAAAAAAGAAAAAUCCCAGCUGCUACUGUGGAGGAGUUGUCACUGCUAUUGGAUACUUUGCUGGAGCACAGUAAAACUGUGGGUUGUGGGAAUGACCCAUAAUGUUUUAUAUAGGGGUCUAGAUUUAUGCCUGAAGUGCACUGCAAUGUAAAUAAUUUGCAUUUACUGAAUAUGUACUGACUGAGUCCCACUGUUCAAAAGUUCAAUAAAGAAACAAACUAA